UACAGAGGGUGCGAGCGUUAAUCGGACUUACUGGGCGUAAAGGGCGCGUAGGUGGAUUUUUAAGUCAGAUGUGAAAUCCCAGGGCUCAACCUUGGAAUGGCAUUUGAUACUGGGGAUCUAGAGUAUGGCAGAGGGAAGGGGAAUUUCCGGUGUAGCGGUGAAAUGCGUAGAUAUCGGAAAGGACAUCAGUGGCGAAGGCGCCUUCCUGGGCUGAUACUGACACUGAGGCGCGAAAGCGUGGGUAGCGAACAGGAUUAGAUACCCGUGUAGU
RNAcentral lists this ribosomal RNA (271 nucleotides) under uncultured bacterium. RNAcentral describes it as "partial 16S ribosomal RNA". It matches the Rfam family "Bacterial small subunit ribosomal RNA", at positions 524 to 794 of the family's 1533-position model. The record is from RNAcentral.